RNAcentral lists this RNase P RNA (336 nucleotides) under Clostridiaceae bacterium. RNAcentral's name for it is "partial RNase P RNA component class A". It matches the Rfam family "Bacterial RNase P class A". Rfam says of the family: Ribonuclease P (RNase P) is a ubiquitous endoribonuclease, found in archaea, bacteria and eukarya as well as chloroplasts and mitochondria. The record is from RNAcentral. Lineage: Bacteria; Bacillati; Bacillota; Clostridia; Eubacteriales; Clostridiaceae.
GGACAGCCGCGGGUGUCAGCCGAAAGGCGGCACAUGAGGAAAGUCCGGGCUCCGCAGGGCAGGGUGCCGGGUAAUUCCCGGUGAAGGCGACUUCAAGGCAAGUGCAACAGAAACAGACCGCCGGCAGGUUCUGCCGGCAAGGGUGGAACGGUGAGGUAAGAGCUCACCAGCGGGAUGGCGACAUUCCGGCUCUGUAAACCCCACCUGGAGCAACACCGCGGAGGGACAUAUUUGCGGCCCGCAAGUCCCGUGGAGGUGGCUGGAGCCGGCUGGCAACAGCCGGCCUAGAUAGAUGGUUGUCCAAGACAGGAUCCGGCUUACAGGCUUGCUCGGAAA